GUACACUCCUGCGGGAGGCAGCAGUGGGGAAUAUUGGACAAUGGGCGCAAGCCUGAUCCAGCCAUGCCGCGUGAGUGAUGAAGGCCCUAGGGUUGUAAAGCUCUUUCACCGGUGAAGAUAAUGACGGUAACCGGAGAAGAAGCCCCGGCUAACUUCGUGCCAGCAGCCGCGGUAAUACGAAGGGGGCUAGCGUUGUUCGGAUUUACUGGGCGUAAAGCGCACGUAGGCGGACUAUUAAGUCAGGGGUGAAAUCCCGGGGCUCAACCCCGGAACUGCCUUUGAUACUGGUAGUCUUGAGUUCGAGAGAGGUGAGUGGAAUUCCGGGUGUAGAGGUGAAAUUCGUAGAUAUUCGGAGGAACACCAGUGGCGAAGGCGGCUCACUGGCUCGAUACUGACGCUGAGGUGCGAAAGCGUGGGGAGCAAACAGGAUUAGAAACCCCAGUAGUCCCAUGA
RNAcentral lists this ribosomal RNA (453 nucleotides) under uncultured organism. RNAcentral's name for it is "partial 16S ribosomal RNA". It matches the Rfam family "Bacterial small subunit ribosomal RNA", at positions 331 to 800 of the family's 1533-position model. The record is from RNAcentral.